CAAGGCUAAAUACUCCUGACUGACCGAUAGUGAACCAGUACCGUGAGGGAAAGGCGAAAAGAACCCCGGCGAGGGGAGUGAAAAAGAACCUGAAACCGUGUACGUACAAGCAGUGGGAGCCUCUUUAUGGGGUGACUGCGUACCUUUUGUAUAAUGGGUCAGCGACUUAUAUUCUGUAGCAAGGUUAACCGAAUAGGGGAGCCGAAGGGAAACCGAGUCUUAACUGGGCGUUAAGUUGCAGGGUAUAGACCCG
RNAcentral lists this ribosomal RNA (253 nucleotides) under Escherichia marmotae. Its description in RNAcentral is "partial 23S ribosomal RNA". It matches the Rfam family "Bacterial large subunit ribosomal RNA", at positions 461 to 717 of the family's 2925-position model. Lineage: Bacteria; Pseudomonadati; Pseudomonadota; Gammaproteobacteria; Enterobacterales; Enterobacteriaceae. The record is from RNAcentral.